RNAcentral lists this unclassified non-coding RNA (329 nucleotides) under soil metagenome. RNAcentral's name for it is "partial contains 5.8S ribosomal RNA, internal transcribed spacer 2, and large subunit ribosomal RNA". The stretch from base 1 to 120 matches the Rfam family "5.8S ribosomal RNA", at positions 35 to 154 of the family's 154-position model. The record is from RNAcentral.
GAUGAAGAACGCAGCGAAAUGCGAUAAGUAAUGUGAAUUGCAGAAUUCAGCGAAUCAUCGAAUCUUUGAACGCACAUUGCGCCCCUUGGUAUUCCGAGGGGCAUGCCUGUUCGAGCGUCAUUAUAACCCCUCAAGCUCAGCUUGGUGUUGGGGCCUGCUGCACUGGCAGCCCUUAAAAUCAGUGGCGGCGCCAUCUGGCUCUAAGCGUAGUAAUUCUUCUCGCUAUGGAGUCCUGGUGGAUGCUUGCCAUCAACCCCCAAUUUUUCUAUGGUUGACCUCGGAUCAGGUAGGGAUACCCGCUGAACUUAAGCAUAUCAAUAAGCGGAGGA